GAGAUUCCCCCAGUAGCGGCGAGCGAACGGGGAGCAGCCCAGAGCCUGAAUCAGUGUGUGUGUUAGUGGAAGCGUCUGGAAAGGCGCGCGAUACAGGGUGACAGCCCCGUACACAAAAAUGCACAUACUGUGAGCUCGAUGAGUAGGGCGGGACACGUGGUAUCCUGUCUGAAUAUGGGGGGACCAUCCUCCAAGGCUAAAUACUCCUGACUGACCGAUAGUGAACCAGUACCGUGAGGGAAAGGCGAAAAGAACCCCGGCGAGGGGAGUGAAAAAGAACCUGAAACCGUGUACGUACAAGCAGUGGGAGCACGCUUAGGCGUGUGACUGCGUACCUUUUGUAUAAUGGGUCAGCGACUUAUAUUCUGUAGCAAGGUUAACCGAAUAGGGGAGCCGAAGGGAAACCGAGUCUUAACUGGGCGUUAAGUUGCAGGGUAUAGACCCGAAACCCGGUGAUCUAGCCAUGGGCAGGUUGAAGGUUGGGUAACACUAACUGGAGGACCGAACCGACUAAUGUUGAAAAAUUAGCGGAUGACUUGUGGCUGGGGGUGAAAGGCCAAUCAAACCGGGAGAUAGCUGGUUCUCCCCGAAAGCUAUUUAGGUAGCGCCUCGUGAAUUCAUCUCCGGGGGUAG
This 633-nucleotide ribosomal RNA is filed under the name Escherichia coli. Its description in RNAcentral is "partial 23S ribosomal RNA". It matches the Rfam family "Bacterial large subunit ribosomal RNA", at positions 231 to 905 of the family's 2925-position model. Lineage: Bacteria; Pseudomonadati; Pseudomonadota; Gammaproteobacteria; Enterobacterales; Enterobacteriaceae. The record is from RNAcentral.